GGGGGUGGGUGUAACAUCAGUUGUGUGGAUUUCUUCAAGGAUUUGACGAAGAACGAAGAAAGCUUUCUUGAUCCUUCAGGAUUCUUGGGAAUUUUGGGAGGUUGGAUGCUUGAAAGCUUGAGAGUUUCAUAGCUUCAAGGAUUUGGAGAAUUCUCUUCCAAUUUGGGAGUAGAGAAAUGUGUAUGUGAAUUUGUCAUUUGAAAUGGAUGAAAUGGCCUUGUAUUUAUAGAAUUUUUCAAGCCCUAAUUUUGAAUAUAAUAUU
This 262-nucleotide long non-coding RNA is filed under the name Malus domestica (apple). Its description in RNAcentral is "long non-coding RNA (MDOM_LNC005132)". The record is from RNAcentral. Lineage: Eukaryota; Viridiplantae; Streptophyta; Magnoliopsida; Rosales; Rosaceae.